This is a long non-coding RNA of Anser brachyrhynchus (Pink-footed goose), 1620 nucleotides long. NCBI's taxonomy places the organism in Eukaryota, Metazoa, Chordata, Aves, Anseriformes, Anatidae. The record is from Ensembl.
AUGAGAGCAGCCGGCGCGGCUCGUGGGGAUGCUGCCACCGGGCCGGGCCCCGGAGCACCGGCUCUGCCUGCUGUCCCGUGGGGACCGACCCCGGCGGGGACGGCUCGCGGCGUCCCAGCGGCGGGCGUCACGGCCGGGCGCGGCAGAACAAUGCGGCCGCCCUGGCUCGGCCCCGGGCAGCUCCGCGUCCCGCUGCGACGCGCGGCCGGGCCCCGCUCCUGCGCCCCCACAGCCCGCCCGGCCCUGACCCUGCGGCCACCGCGGGUGCCACCCGGCCUCCGGCGCAUGGUGAUGGAAAAUUUGAGGCGUUCCUUGCGCCUGUUUACGGCCCCAGCAGGCGGCACGGAGGGGAAGGGCAGUGCCCGCCGGCGCGCAGAGUUCUUGGCUCUUGGCGGAGGUUCUUUGGCAGGGCAGCGGCAGCUCUGCUGGCAGCCCCGGCGGCACCGUGGGCGCUGCAGGAUCCCAGGCCAGACGCGGACGGAGCCCCAAAGCCACCCGCGGGAGACAGCCCGGGCUGGACCCCACAGAGGGGACGGGGACGGCCUCGGGGUGGUGACACGAUGGCGCUCCCGUCCCCGGGGAGCGCUUCCGGAGAUUCAGCCCCGCUUCCUUCCCUGCGCCGGCCGGGCUCGCCCUGGGCUCCCCACCCUUGUCCGGGCUGGGUGGCUCCUGUCCCCGCAGUCCCCGUCCUGGCGGCGGCGGGCGGGUGGGGGCCACCGCUACUGCUGGGUGACGUUCCUGUCCUCGUGGCGCAUUCAUUCCCGGGGACGGGGACAGGGGGUGAGCUGGCACCGGCAGGGACGGGGACACCGCGGGGAGCGGCCGUCCCCGUGUCCCCAGCAGCCAGGGCUCCUGGAGGGCGCCGAGGCCGGUCGGGCGCUGUCCCCGCUGCCUGCCGAGGGGACACCGGGGCAGGGAGGGUCCCGGCACAGGACUGUUUGUCCCCGCCGUGUCGCUCCGGGAGCAGAUGGCGGCGGGGCUGCGGUGGCCCAGCCUCUCCCCAGCUGCCUUGGGGCUGACUUCAUCCCCGCUGGCAGUGACGCUCGGGCGCUGCCUUCCCUCCUGCCACCCUCGCUCGCCGGGCGCGGGCAGGACGUGGGGACAGCCACCGCCGCGUCCGCCGCUCCCUGUCCCCGUCCCCAGCACCGAGUGGCCUGCUCAGGGCGGCCUGGCUCCUGCUGGGCACACACGUCCCCGCCCUGGGGACACCUCUGUGGGGACACCUCUGUGGGGACACCGCCUCCCUGGGGACACCGCUAUGGGGGGACACCAUGGCCCUGGGGACACCAUGGCCCUGGGGACACCACGGCCCUGGGGACACCACGGCCCUGGGGACACCACCGCCUUGGGGGCACCACUGUGGGGACGCCACCGCCUUGGGGACACCAUGGCCCUGGGGACACCACUGCCUUGGGGGCACCACCGUGGGGCCGCCACCACCCCGGGGCCACCCGCACCGCCGCGGUGACACCGCCCCGGGGCCACCCCCGCCCCCCUGGCGCCCCCUGCCGGCGGCCCCGCCCCUCGCCCGGGCCCCGCCCCCCGCCGCGCGAGGCCGGCCGGGCCGUACCAAGCGCGGCGUGCGGGGGGGGGGGCCGGGCCGUUCCCGGGGCGCUGCCC